AGCCGCCGCGGUAAUACGUAGGUGGCAAGCGUUGUCCGGAUUUAUUGGGCGUAAAGCGAGCGCAGGCGGUCAAUUAAGUCUGAUGUGAAAGCCCCCGGCUCAACCGGGGAGGGUCAUUGGAAACUGGUUGACUUGAGUGCAGAAGAGGAGAGUGGAAUUCCAUGUGUAGCGGUGAAAUGCGUAGAUAUAUGGAGAAACACCAGUGGCGAAGGCGACUCUCUGGUCUGUAACUGACGCUGAGGCUCGAAAGCGUGGGUAGCAAACAGGAUUAGAUACCCGGGUAGUCCCUGUCUCUUAUACA
This 301-nucleotide ribosomal RNA is filed under the name uncultured bacterium. RNAcentral's name for it is "partial 16S ribosomal RNA". It matches the Rfam family "Bacterial small subunit ribosomal RNA", at positions 510 to 808 of the family's 1533-position model. The record is from RNAcentral.